Molecule: ribosomal RNA, 2771 nt
Filed under: Escherichia coli
Lineage: Bacteria; Pseudomonadati; Pseudomonadota; Gammaproteobacteria; Enterobacterales; Enterobacteriaceae
Description: partial 23S ribosomal RNA
Rfam family: Bacterial large subunit ribosomal RNA
Source: RNAcentral
GGUUAAGCGACUAAGCGUACACGGUGGAUGCCCUGGCAGUCAGAGGCGAUGAAGGACGUGCUAAUCUGCGAUAAGCGUCGGUGAGGUGAUAUGAACCGUUAUAACCGGCGAUUUCCGAAUGGGGAAACCCAGUGUGUUUCGACACACUAUCAUUAACUGAAUCCAUAGGUUAAUGAGGCGAACCGGGGGAACUGAAACAUCUAAGUACCCCGAGGAAAAGAAAUCAACCGAGAUUCCCCCAGUAGCGGCGAGCGAACGGGGAGGAGCCCAGAGCCUGAAUCAGUGUGUGUGUUAGUGGAAGCGUCUGGAAAGGCGCGCGAUACAGGGUGACAGCCCCGUACACAAAAAUGCACAUGCUGUGAGCUCGAUGAGUAGGGCGGGACACGUGGUAUCCUGUCUGAAUAUGGGGGGACCAUCCUCCAAGGCUAAAUACUCCUGACUGACCGAUAGUGAACCAGUACCGUGAGGGAAAGGCGAAAAGAACCCCGGCGAGGGGAGUGAAAAAGAACCUGAAACCGUGUACGUACAAGCAGUGGGAGCCUCUUAAUGGGGUGACUGCGUACCUUUUGUAUAAUGGGUCAGCGACUUAUAUUCUGUAGCAAGGUUAACCGAAUAGGGGAGCCGAAGGGAAACCGAGUCUUAACUGGGCGUUAAGUUGCAGGGUAUAGACCCGAAACCCGGUGAUCUAGCCAUGGGCAGGUUGAAGGUUGGGUAACACUAACUGGAGGACCGAACCGACUAAUGUUGAAAAAUUAGCGGAUGACUUGUGGCUGGGGGUGAAAGGCCAAUCAAACCGGGAGAUAGCUGGUUCUCCCCGAAAGCUAUUUAGGUAGCGCCUCGUGAAUUCAUCUCCGGGGGUAGAGCACUGUUUCGGCAAGGGGGUCAUCCCGACUUACCAACCCGAUGCAAACUGCGAAUACCGGAGAAUGUUAUCACGGGAGACACACGGCGGGUGCUAACGUCCGUCGUGAAGAGGGAAACAACCCAGACCGCCAGCUAAGGUCCCAAAGUCAUGGUUAAGUGGGAAACGAUGUGGGAAGGCCCAGACAGCCAGGAUGUUGGCUUAGAAGCAGCCAUCAUUUAAAGAAAGCGUAAUAGCUCACUGGUCGAGUCGGCCUGCGCGGAAGAUGUAACGGGGCUAAACCAUGCACCGAAGCUGCGGCAGCGACACUAUGUGUUGUUGGGUAGGGGAGCGUUCUGUAAGCCUGUGAAGGUGGCCUGUGAGGGUUGCUGGAGGUAUCAGAAGUGCGAAUGCUGACAUAAGUAACGAUAAAGCGGGUGAAAAGCCCGCUCGCCGGAAGACCAAGGGUUCCUGUCCAACGUUAAUCGGGGCAGGGUGAGUCGACCCCUAAGGCGAGGCCGAAAGGCGUAGUCGAUGGGAAACAGGUUAAUAUUCCUGUACUUGGUGUUACUGCGAAGGGGGGACGGAGAAGGCUAUGUUGGCCGGGCGACGGUUGUCCCGGUUUAAGCGUGUAGGCUGGUUUUCCAGGCAAAUCCGGAAAACCAAGGCUGAGGCGUGAUGACGAGGCACUACGGUGCUGAAGCGACAAAUGCCCUGCUUCCAGGAAAAGCCUCUAAGCAUCAGGUAACAUCAAAUCGUACCCCAAACCGACACAGGUGGUCAGGUAGAGAAUACCAAGGCGCUUGAGAGAACUCGGGUGAAGGAACUAGGCAAAAUGGUGCCGUAACUUCGGGAGAAGGCACGCUGAUAUGUAGGUGAAGCGACUUGCUCGUGGAGCUGAAAUCAGUCGAAGAUACCAGCUGGCUGCAACUGUUUAUUAAAAACACAGCACUGUGCAAACACGAAAGUGGACGUAUACGGUGUGACGCCUGCCCGGUGCCGGAAGGUUAAUUGAUGGGGUUAGCGGCAACGCGAAGCUCUUGAUCGAAGCCCCGGUAAACGGCGGCCGUAACUAUAACGGUCCUAAGGUAGCGAAAUUCCUUGUCGGGUAAGUUCCGACCUGCACGAAUGGCGUAAUGAUGGCCAGGCUGUCUCCACCCGAGACUCAGUGAAAUUGAACUCGCUGUGAAGAUGCAGUGUACCCGCGGCAAGACGGAAAGACCCCGUGAACCUUUACUAUAGCUUGACACUGAACAUUGAGCCUUGAUGUGUAGGAUAGGUGGGAGGCUUUGAAGUGUGGACGCCAGUCUGCAUGGAGCCGACCUUGAAAUACCACCCUUUAAUGUUUGAUGUUCUAACGUUGGCCCGUAAUCCGGGUUGCGGACAGUGUCUGGUGGGUAGUUUGACUGGGGCGGUCUCCUCCUAAAGAGUAACGGAGGAGCACGAAGGUUGGCUAAUCCUGGUCGGACAUCAGGAGGUUAGUGCAAUGGCAUAAGCCAGCUUGACUGCGAGCGUGACGGCGCGAGCAGGUGCGAAAGCAGGUCAUAGUGAUCCGGUGGUUCUGAAUGGAAGGGCCAUCGCUCAACGGAUAAAAGGUACUCCGGGGAUAACAGGCUGAUACCGCCCAAGAGUUCAUAUCGACGGCGGUGUUUGGCACCUCGAUGUCGGCUCAUCACAUCCUGGGGCUGAAGUAGGUCCCAAGGGUAUGGCUGUUCGCCAUUUAAAGUGGUACGCGAGCUGGGUUUAGAACGUCGUGAGACAGUUCGGUCCCUAUCUGCCGUGGGCGCUGGAGAACUGAGGGGGGCUGCUCCUAGUACGAGAGGACCGGAGUGGACGCAUCACUGGUGUUCGGGUUGUCAUGCCAAUGGCACUGCCCGGUAGCUAAAUGCGGAAGAGAUAAGUGCUGAAAGCAUCUAAGCACGAAACUUGC